AACACUAAAAUCUCGAACUUAUAAACUUCAAAUUCUGACUCUUGUCUCUCCUUGUGGUUGUGUUUUAGGCCCCAUUCAAGCAUAAACUAAUUUGGCCAAAUGUAUUUUUGGUAUAUUCAACUAAAAGCUUCCUCAAAAUUACAGCUAAAACAAAAAUUCUAAAAAAGUUGGAUUGAAAUGGAAUGCAUAACCACUUUACCUCCAUCAAUUAGAACAGGGGAAUCACAACUAAAGUAAGCUUCUUUUUAGAUGAGGAAACUCACAUGGAGAUAUAAUGAUAAAACAUAUCCAUCAAGGUGACUUUAAUGUUAUAAUAUAGGAUAAUAUAUAGGAUGAUAUGUAAUUUGUUAAACUAGUGAAAAUUCACAAGUAUAGAUAUCAACACUAUACAAUUCAAUUAAUUGAAAGUCAAAUAUACUUAGUUAGAUAUCAAAAAUAUCCAAAUUUGAACUUGCCAAUAUUUAGAGGACUAAAAGUGCAAACUUCCCAAAAGUCAAAAGGAAAUUAAAAACACAAAUUUAACUUUUUAAUUUUAUUUUAUUUCUCAAAGAAUUAGCAAUAAAAACCAAAGUUAUUUAUAUUCCCUCCAAAUUAAAAUUUGUCACAUUUCAAUUAUCGUCUUAUCGAGAGUCAAACUACAUAAAAAAUUGUACACUUUUACUUGUCACGUUUCAUGAGAUUCAAUUUGAUUAAUUUUCAGAGUUAAAUUUGAUUAAAUUAAUUCAAUAUAUCAAAUAUUAAAUUUAUACAUUCAAAACAUACAAAAAAUAAUAUAAGAUGCAAUUCUCUUUCAUCUUAAAAUAUUGGUGAAAGUUAAUACAAUUUAAUUCUCAAAAAGAAAAACGUGACAAGUAAAAAUGAAGCGUCCCAAUAUUUUGGGAGGCAAAACUAUAAGGAAAAAAAGAGGACAUACAAGUUUGCUUCCAUCAAGGAGAAUUUGGGGAUUUGGAAACACUAAAAUAAAGUUCUUUCUUGGAAGAAUAAGCCAAAAAAAGUUUCUGGGGAACUUCGAGUAUAUACGUACUAAUGGGAUGAGCUAACAAGAGGAGAAACCCUAGUUAUCUGAGAUCAUCCUAUAGAUUCCGUAAAAGUCAUUAUAUCACCAGAUCAUCAAUGACUAGUGUAUAAUGGAAGACAACUAUCCAGUCGGUCAUACCAAACAUUGACAUUUUAUGGCGUUUAGAAUGAUACAACCAUGCAUUUAGUUGGUCAAAUGCAAAGCAUAUAUCAUCUUCAGGCAUGGCAAAUAAUAAAUGACAUAAUUUCAAAAAAUCAAAAAUCUUUUCAAAAUGGCAGAUUUAUUUUUGAAAUCAUGUCACUGAUUAUUUGUCAUGCCUAAAAGAUGAGAUGUGCUCCACGUUUGACCAACUGGAUAUAUGGCUGUAUCAUUUUUAACGCCAUAGAAUGUCAAUGUUUGGUGACUGGAGAGCUGUCUUCCAUUGUACACUGUCGUUGAUGAUAUGGUGGUAUACUAGUGAUCAACCUGAAUUGAUUGUAAAUGACUUUUAUGGAAUCUGUUGAAUGAGCUCGGAUAACUAGGGUUUCUCCUUUUGUUAACGAUUGAACAAAAAUCUGAAUUGAAGUUGGAUCAGUUCUCUUUCUCUUUCUGAUAAGGGAUGAAUAAGUUUGAUCAGAUAAAACUUGAUCAAGCUUACGACUAGUUAAUGGUAGAGCUAUGGAGGUUAUAGCCGGUGGUGCUGCGGCGGAUGUUAUCACAUAACCGCGAAGUAAAGUGAAAAAGGGUAAUGAAAAUGGUGGUGUGGUUUAGUUUAAAACUUAAGAGAUCAAUUUAUAGAACUAAAAUUAGAAAAAGGUCAAAAAGAUCAUUAAUGUAUGAAUAAUAAAUUGUGAAUAAAAUCUUUUUAUUAAAGAUUUUCCCAAAAUGGUCAAUUGGUUAUCAAUUAGAUUGUCCCCUAAAAUUAAUGGUCUUAUUUUUUCUAUUUCAAAGUUCUUUUUUGGGGCAAUUAAAUUUAAUGACGAGUCCAUUAAUUGUGAAUAAAAUCUUUUUAAAAAGAUUUUCCCCAAAAUGGUCAAUUGGUUAUUAAUUAGAUUUUCCCCUAAAAUUAAUGAUCUUAUUUUUUCUAUUUCAAAGUUCCUUUUUGGGCAAUUAAAUUUAAUGAUGAGUCCAUCCUACUGAGAAACAUUUAUUAGCCAUUGUAGUGGUUAAACUAGUUUGUUGAAAAAGUAUAUAAAUGCAUCAAAGUGGUCAAGAUCAAUAUAUUCAUUAAUGAUAUACAUCAUUAAAUUUUGUCAUUUUUAUAUGAUAUACAAUAAAAUCUUAUUAAAUUAAUAGAGGUGGAAUCAUAAAAUACUACUUUCUUAAUUUCAAAAUAAGUGAAUUGUUAUGGCAAUGCACAUCCAUUAAGAAAAAGAAAGUUUAGGACAUAAAAUAAACGUCACUUUCCACUUUUCCCCUUUUAGUUAUUCUCAAAAUAUUCUUAAAAAUAUAAAUAAUUCAAAGUAAAAAAAUCAUAAAUAUGAUCAAAUAACUCUCUUAAAGUUAUCACCUAGAAGAUACAAAUGAGGAGUAAAAAUGGAAAAAUUUCCUAACAACUCUUUUGAGUUUUAAACAAUUCACUUAUUUUGAACUAUGAAAAAAGACUCAACAAUUUACUUAUUUUGAAAUGGAGGGAGUAUUAUUUUGUAGAAGUAUUAUUUAAUCGAUAAAAGAGUGUUUUGAGAUUCAAUAAAGGUUAAUUUUGAUUACAUCAAGACCACUGUAUCUUACUAAUUUAUGUAUCAUAUUCAUUGAAAUUCACAUAAAAAAAUUAUUAUACAUAAAGUACAAUGAAUACAUCACUAUUAUUGUAUCUUAAUAAUUUAUGUAUCAUAUUUAUUGAAUUCAUAUAAAAAAUAAAUUCAUUAUACAUAAAGUACAAUGUAUAUGCAUGAUUCAUUGUAACAUAUUUUUUUGUUAAAUAAUUCAUUGUAAAAUAAAUUCAAGAAACCAAUGAUUCAUUGUAAAAAUAAAUUCACUCUACAUAAUGUUCAUUGUUUUUUAAUAAUCAAAUAUUAUUUAUUGUAUCUUUACUAAAAUAUUCAACGUGUGAUGGUGAGAAUAAACUAUACAAGAAACACAUAAAAUUUCUUGAAACCAUAUCCAAAAAUGGCUUCUCAUUUAAAAGAUGUCACAAAAUCAAUAAUGACAGAUCAAAUACGUAAAACAUUAUGUGUAUACAAAACUAAUCAUUCCACAUGCACUAAAAAAUUCGCCACUAACAAUUCUUCGUUUGUUUUGUAUUUGUAUUUGUAUAUGACGGUGAUUUCCUUUGGGUUUUUAGUUUUAUUAUCAAAUACAUUCAAAUUUUUUAUAACUUUUUAAAGUUUGUAUAAACAUGUAGUUUUCGAAAUUUGUAUAACAUAAUUUGUAUAACUUUUGUAUAAUAUAGUUUGUAUAACUGUUUAAAGUUCAGAUGUUUGUGUUUGUAUAAAUUUAUUAUUUCAAAUUUUAUCAUAUUUGUAUAAUUCCGAAAUUUGUAUUACUCCAAAAAACAGAUCCAAUUUUAGAUCUACAAUUGUACCCAUAUUUGUAUAAAUCCGUAAUUGUAUAUUUCUAUAUUUUGCUUAUACAAAAUAUAUACGUACAAAAGCCUACCAACAUAAUCAUCUUAUACAAUACGGACAAAAAUAACUCAAUAUACAAAUACAGGCGAAUUAUACAAACGUAUCCGCAAAUUAUAUAAACGUGGUGCGAAUUAUAUAAACGAGUAAGCUAUAGCUACAACCUGUAAAUAUGCAAACUAUAGCUAAGGAGCCUAAUUAAGUUUCUUAUAUUGAUUAUUUGCAAAAUUUCCCCUACUUCAAAUAAAAGAUAAAAUUCAAAUUUAGUAUGUGAAAUUGUUUUUGAGAUAUAUUGAUAUCGAUAUGAAAUUAUAUAAUUCUAUAGCAAAUCAAUAUAGUUGGUUACAUUAUUGUGUUGAGCAAUGUCACAUCCAAGAAUGUAUGACAUGUGGAUUGGAAUAUUCGAUUGGAUUAAAUUAAAAAAUGAAUAGAAGGAAGGGAAAUUAAGUGAAAUGAAAGCAAGCAAGCAUUAUCCAAUAAUGUGCUUUAUCCUUUUCAUCUAACCUUUCAUUCGCCAAAUUUUGAACACUCUUUGUCAAAACUAUUUGUUUCCAUUUUGGUUUAUGCUAAAUAUUUUUUCGGUUCAUUUUUAAUUAUUCAUUAUAUUAAAAAUAAAAGAAAUAUUUAAAAAUAUCACUGAACUUGACAUAAAUUAUUAAUUUCAUCCUCUAAAUUAUUGAUAGUUUUAAAAACAUCGCUCUACUUGACUAACUCAAGUACAAUGGUUAGUCAAGUAGAGUGGUGUUUUUAAGACUAUCAAUAUUUCGGAGAUGAACUAAUAGUUUACACCAAAUUUAGUUGUGUUUUCAAUACUUCUCAUUAUUAAAAAUAGGUAUUCACUUUUAUCUAUUCAUAAAAUUAAGAGAUAAUUUGUUAUAUAUUCUUUUUAUUAUUAUAUACUAUUCAUUUAUAAAAUUAAAUUAUAUUGAUUUGCUUGAGCCGAUAGUCUUAUGAAAAUAACUUCUUUAUCUGAAAGAGUUAGUGAUCAUGAUUGUCUACACUCUAUCCUCUCACUAUUUAACUUAUCAUUGUUAUUAUUAUUAGUAGUAUAAGAAGUGUUUCAAAUCAACAAUAGUCUGAUGAACAUGAAUUGAGUGGAAGUAGAGGCGAAGCUAGAAAGGGCACGUGAGAUUCAUCCGAGCACCUAAUAUGAUUUACACAUGAUUAAAUUUAUAUAUAUAGAGAGAGAGUCUCCGUCUGUGUCACUGUAUUUUGGUAAAUAAUGAAAAUUCUAAAGCCGCCACUAUCACUGUGCUGUGUGUGGGAGUAGUAAAGGGACCCCCAAAUGUCCACUUGCUCUGUAUUUUUUUCAUAAAAAAUGGAGCAAUUUUGGACCAUUCAGCCAUCGGAAGUUCCAAUAGGCGAUGUGUUUUGGACUCUUCUAAUUCACACUUUGCCUAUUCUCAAAACCCCACCAUUGAAUUUCUUUUCUCCAUUUUUUGGUUGGAGAUGAUGAAUAAUAUGGAAGAUGAGUACAUUAGGAGACACCAUAGGCAUGUGCUCAACGACAAUCAGUGUAGUUCUUCACUUGUUAAACGCAUCAGAGCUCCUGUUAAUCUUGUAAGCUUAAUCCAUUUUGUACUUGAUCUUUCAUAUUUUCUCAGAUCUAUAUGCGGUCAUCUUGUUACAAAGGCUUUCUAGGAUUUUUCAUAUAGGUUGGUUACAUUGUAGAAAAAUAAGAUUUGGGAUUUUAUCUUUUUUUUUUGUAAAAAAAAUUGGUCGAAUUGUGUAAUUUAUGAUUUUGCUGCUAUUUUGAAAUUUGAGGUAAAGAAGAAAAAGAACGUAUUUUUAUGUGGAAGAUAGUGUUAAUUGCUUCAAUGAAGUGGGUUGAGAAUCACCAGGGGUUUCAGGUUCAAUUUCUAGCAGAGACAAAAAUAUUAGGUGAUUCUUUCCAUCUGUCUUGAGCUUUGGUGGAUAGAGUUGCCGAGGUGCGUGUAAGCUGCCACAUAUGCUACAGUUAUAAAAAAGGAUGUGUAAGGUAGUGCUAAUUGUUUCGUUACCUAGAAUGUUUGCAUGGUUUGACUUUGGAGUUGGCCUUGGUAAACCAAAUUGGAUUAUGUUUUUGAUUUCAUGUGUAGCUAAUUAUUGGAUGUGGGACUGACUGUAACAUAUAUGUUCUUAUGGAGCUCUUACUGGUUUGGUAUGUUUCAUAGGUAUGGUCAUUGGUGAGAAGGUUUGAUCAACCACAAAGGUACAAGCCAUUCGUUAGCAGAUGCGUUGUGCAAGGGGACCUUGAAAUUGGGAGUGUGAGAGAAGUGAAUGUUAGGUCGGGUCUUCCAGCUACCACCAGCAAGGAGAGGUUAGAGCUUCUAGAUGACGAGGAACACAUCUUUGGCGUUAAGAUUGUUGGUGGAGAUCACAGGCUUCAGGUAUGCAUCUUUUAUUUUCUCAUAGAAAAUACAUGGGUACUAUUGAUGCAUUGGAUAGAUUAUAUAUGUUGGCUAAAUUGUCACAUCAGGUGUUUUUUUGUAUCUUAUGAUAUUGAAUAAGUGAAGUUGAGUUUAUUCAGUGAAAAAGGAAUAUAGAAUUCAAGUGUGUAUUUAAUGGUAAGAAACCAUGUUUUCCACUAACCUUCUUGCAUCUGCAUAUACUUCAAUAACACUGACAACUAUAUCUCCUUCUCUUGUUGUAGUUGGGUGAGGGACAUGCUUUUCAUUGUAAAAGAUUUUUACGUACUUGAAUCUUUGCUAUUUUCUCUCAGUUACUCCAACUAGAGAUGAUGUUACCACCAUUCAACUAUGCUGAUUAUCCUCUUUCUCCUUCUCACCUCUAAUUUUAUUUUUCCUGAUCGGCUUCUUCAACUAGAACACUAACAACAACAACAUACCCAGUGUAAUCCUAUAUGCCGGGUCUAAGGAGGUUAAAGUGUAUGCAGACCUUACCCUACCUCGUGGAGGUAGAGAGGCUGUUUCUGAAACCAGAAUACUAACUAUCACAAUAUACGAGGUAAAUUUUAACAUUCUAUUCUGAAAGAGCUGGUAAAUAUCAAAGACUCCUUAUACGUUAAGCAUCCAUUAUGGGGUGAGAGUCACAAGGUUAUACUCCCUCCGUCCCAUUUUAUGUGGCACCAUUUCCUUUUUGGUCAGUCCCAAAAAGAAUGUCACAUUUCCUUAUAUGGUAAGUAUUUAAAGGUACAAUUCCUCUUUUACCCUUGUUGGUCCCACUUAAUCUUAAAGAUAGUACUCCAAUACAUUUAUGAGGAGAGAGAAAAGUGAGUCUACUUUUUAAUAUGACUAUUUUUUGAAGGGGCAAUUUGGUAAACAUUUCAAAGUCUUCAUUUAUUUCUUAAACUUCGUGCUUGGUCAAAUGUUGCCACAUAAAAUGGGACGGAGGGAGUAUUAUUUUAUAAAUGUAUGCAGACAGAAUUUGAACUUGAAACUUCAUGUUUUCAGCAUUCAUUUAUGUCACCUUUGCUUAUUCAAAUGCCUUCACGGUAUGUGUGUGUGUGCGCCUGAUAGAGAGAUCUUGAUUGAUUUUAAAGUAGGGGUGGGAAAAGCACAAACAAUGAAGUUUUGAGUUAGAAGUUACCUGAGAUGUUUUAUAGUGAUCAUAAAGUGUCCAUUCAAUAAAGAAACUCAAGCUUGAGCCUAAAGAAUGUCUGCUGAAGUUUAGAUGGAAGUAACUUGAGUUUUACUCGCACCUUGUCUGCUUGUCAUGUACAACCAUCUUCUUUAUUACCCCAUAAUUGUCUUACUCAGUUAAUACUUAUGUAAUUGUGUUUGAAUAUCACAUGGAACGUGCUUGCAUAAGACGUUCCAUACUAUUCUUAUUACUUUUUCUUGAGCAAUAAUGAGCCUCCUAUCCCAUUUUACAUGAUGGUGUUUGACUGUAUCAGUAUGAAAUUUUUUGACACAUAAACUAAAUAUAUCAAAGUACUAAAGUUGACCUUGAUAGCAACAAUUAAAUGGGAGAUGGUAAGAGUUCCACAUUUCUCUUCAUCUCCUGUUUAAUAAAAAAAAUCAGUUCCAAAUAAGUCAUGUCAAUAGCAUUUAAAAUGGGAUGUCUAUCUUUUUACACAAACUAAAGAGAAAAGAGUGUCACGUAAGCUGGAAUAGAGGAAGUUGUAGUAUUUUUCAAGUUAGAUCCCACAUGGUUUGUGUUGUGGAACUUUAGCGGCUCAGACGGUGAGCAUGUUGAACUGUUCCAUUCAUCAAAUAUUCUGUUCUUCAUUUACUGUUCCUUGAUUAGGAAAUGGAGAGGUGAAUGCCUGGUCAACCUUCCCUCAUAGCAAGAGACGUUUCUGUGGUUUCGUUUCUUGAAGAGUCAUCGAUGCAGACCUUCCAUGAGGGUAUAGCAUGGGAUGUAGGGAUCCUUUUACCUGUAUAAGAUUUCACAACUUCUAGUUCUAUCAUCUCUGAGUGUGUAAUGCUAAUAUUUGGUAACUGGAACGAUGAAAAACAAAAUGACCUGCUGAACAUGAAUUUGUAAGAAUGGUUAGAUAAUUUUCCUCUGGGAGAGGGCAGAGACUAAUGCUAAGUCCAAAUAAUCUACCUCACAUCAUCUUAACUCCAAUUUAUUGAACUUCUGGUGUAAUAGUAGUUGGAUUGACAAUGAAGAUCAUACUUCUUUGAUUUUUUUAUUCCUUAUGGGGGUGAAGAUGUAAUGCUGUAAUCUUUUGCCUUUUCUACUUCCCAGUGCCUUGGUACAAUUUAUAAUGAAAUUUACCUUACCGUGUGAAAAAUAAAAGUUUAUUGAGCUUUGUGUAUACUCCUUUUCUUUCCAUGGUCUUAUGACUCUUAUCAUGUGCAUGUACACUCAUUAGGUUUGGUGUUCGUCAGGAGUCUUUUGAUUUGUUUAGUUCCUUUGUGUACCACUAGACAAUGUAGAGAAUCUUUUAUAGACCUCUAAUUUUUUCUUAAAAUACACAUUUAUUGAGUAUUUGAAUGAAGCAGCUCUAGAUGGAGUUAUUUCAAGUUAUUUUACUUCCAGAAAGAAAGAAGUUCCAGAUGGAGUGGAAUGAAUGUUGAAAAUUCUUAAAGCCAUCAACAACUAGUUUUGGAUUAAGGUAGUAACAGUUGUAGUUGUUGGACUGAUUGCUCAGAUGGGUAGCAUAUUGAACUGUUCCAUGGUUGCUUUUUGGCUAAAAAAUGGAGAACUAAGACGUGAAUGCAAGGAUAGCUUUUCCUCCAUGAAAAGAGGGGUUUCUGUUGUUUCAUAUCAGCGAAAAUGUGGCAUGGGAUGGUUAGGACCAUUUUUCCAAAACAAGAUUGUGCAGCUCCUCUCUACCCCUUCUCUUAUUAAGUAUGUUAUCCAAACAUCUGAUUAAUCAAAUGAUGCAAAAGUAAAAGGACCUGCUUAGAGUAUGAAUUGUAAGAAUCGAUAAAUAAAUCCCCUAUGCUUGCUCAUUUCAAGUCCAAGGAACCUACCUUGCGUUAUCUAAACUCAAUUUAUUAAGCUCUCUAUGAACUCCGUUUCUUUCUUGUCUUUUUCUGUUUCUUUACCAAAUACAUAUAACUCAUCAUGAAAAUAUUGUGCUUCCAUUUACAUAAUGUGAGCCAGCUUUUCUUCCACGCUGUGUAGUAAAAUUAUGGUAGUAUGUUUUUGCAUCAUUUUCUGUUGGAAAGCACAAGUAUUACUCAAUAUUUAUAAACUGAACUCGUUAGCAAGUGAUUUCUCGUUUUCUUUGAAAACAUGGCAGAACUACUCAUCAAUUAUCACUGUUCAUCCCGAGGUCAUUGACGGGAGACCUGGAACAAUUGUAAUCGAGUCAUUUGUAGUAGACAUACCAGAUGGGAAUACUAAGGACGAAACAUGCUUCUUUGUGGAGGCCCUCAUCCGGUGUAACCUCAAAUCGUUAGCUGAUGUAUCAGAGCGUUUGGCGGUGCAGGGCCAUACCGAACCUAUUGAUAGAAUGUAGCUUCACAGUUUUUACCAAUGCAGCAGCGUGGGCUUAUACGUUUUUGCUGCUGGAGCAUACAUGGAUUUUGAUUAGGUGAGUAGAGCGACUGGUAUUAUGAUUGUCCUCCUCGAUCUCAGACGAGUGUGUGUAUAUAUAUAUUUUUUUGUUGAUGCUUCCUUUUAAUCAUCUGAAGGUCACCUCUGUUCUUUAACAUGCAACCAGAUUAUUCUUGCAAUGGCUAUUUCUCAUUGUGAAGAACCAGUACUGAUUCUGGCUGUGCAAGAUAUUGAGCCUUGUAAAUAUUUGCUACUGGAUGAGCUUUUGUUGUCAUAAGAAUCAUAUCCUACUCUGCUGUGGCAAAGGCGUGCGUGCUAUACACUCGUCUCGUCUAGAGGCUGAUGUGCUAAUAGUAUUCCCUAGACUGUAACUGUGCCUUAUUUUGUUUUUGUACUUGUACAAGAAAAAAGUUCCUUGUUUGUUGUUGUAUCUUUCACCCUUCAUGCUGUGUUGUAUAUGAUUUCAUGGUGCAUUAUUUGUUCCCAAGAACAUGUGGAUUUCUGAAGCAAUUUGUAUUUCCCUUCAUUUCAUCCCCUGUAAGAAUGUGAAGGGAGACUUCCAAGAGCCAAGAAUAACAAAAGAUUACCUCUUUUCUUAGGGUGUUUUUGAUACGAAGGAAAAUAUUUUCCAAUUUUCUCAUGUUUGAUUAGUGUAAAUAUUUUCCAAAUUAACUUAUUUUCCUCAAAUUUAAGGAAAAUGACUGACCUUAAAAAAGUAAGGAAAACAUUUUUCAAAAUUACAUUGAACCUCACACCUCAAGUUUCCAUACUAACUUAAGUUUUGGUUAUUGAUUCCAAGUACUAAUCCUAGAUAUGACUCCUGAUUCUCAAUUCGACUUUGGGCGUGCACAAGUAGAUACUUAAAUUUAUAUAAAAUUAAAUAAAUAGACACACGCGUCUUACGUCUAUGCCACGUAAGACACAAAUUACCCUGUAGGAUGCAUGUGUAUAUUUGUUCCAUUUUGUAAAGUUUAAGUGUCUACUAGUCUCACACCCAAAGUAAGAAGACAUAGAUAUCAACUGAGAUCAAGUUAAAGAGCAUGUUUAUGUAUUGGGCCAAUAUAAAAUGCUUCAUUUCUUGCGGGCAAGUUGAAAUUCUGCGGGCUAAAGACAAAACUCGUACCCUCGCUGCCCCCAUCCACUUGCCAUCCUUGUGAAAAUGCUUUUCUUUCCCUAAGCUUAUGUUGAAAAAUGCUAUGGUUAACUACUUUUUUUUUGUUGUUUUCCAUGUUACAUUAAGGGCCAAAAGAGAAGCUAUUGUGAUUUUGGGAAGAACACAUAUCAGAAAGUUACAAAUGAGAGGCUUAUUAGAUGUGUAUUAUUUGAGAACAACAGAGCAACGUUUACGGAAUCAACAUAAUUCAAUGUUAAAUAAAACAUCUUCACUAGUAUAAAUAAUAGCUUGCUCCCUCUAACAUUCCUCACCAACAUUCAAACACUAAAACAUUAGUAUCACUAGAAACAUUCAGGUAUAAAAAAAAUGGCCUUGACAUUCAAUUGGAAGUUUGCUUUUGCAGCUCUACUAGUAUUGGUUAUGCAGGCUUCUCAAGCCACAUCUCGCGAUUUGUAUGAAGCCUCAAUUGUCAAGAAACACGAGCAGUGGAUGGUACGCUUUGGGCGUGUGUACAAAGAUGAUGAAGAGAAGGCAAAAAGAUUCAAAAUAUUCACGGAUAACACUGAGUACAUUGAUUCUGUCAAGAUGGCUGGCAUCAAGCCUUACAAGUUGGACAUCAAUGAAUUUGCUGAUUUGACGAAUGAGGAAUUCAGAGCCACUCGUAAUGGGUAUAGAAUGACUUCUCAAAAGAAAUCCCCUGAAAUCACAUCAUUCAAAUACGAAAAUGUAACUGCUCCAGCUACUAUGGAUUGGAGAAUGAAGGGUGCUGUUACUGGAAUUAAGAAUCAAGGGCAGUGUGGUAAGUUAACUCAUGGUUAUAUAACUGCCUUUUAAAUAUGAAUCACUACUAGAAACAAAGCUUUUUCCUAUCACGAAUCAGUGGGAAAUUUGUACUAUACAACAUGAUUUUCCCGGUCAUUUCCCAUCGAAUCAGGUGGGAAACAGAUUCUCACUGAGAUAGUGGGAAACUUCCUAAUUUUUCCGUAUGAAAACAUACUAUUUUUUCUUCUCUCAUGGAUUCAAUCAAAAUAUCUGUGGGAAUAGUCACUAAACAUUUUUCAGUAGGAAUCUGCAAUAUACUAAAAACUAAUUGACCUUAUUAUAUUAUUUAGGAUGUUGCUGGGCAUUUUCUGCUGUUGCUGCCACAGAAGGAAUCAACAAGAUCAAAACUGGUAAGUUGAUUUCUUUAUCCGAGCAGGAACUCGUGGACUGUGACACGAGUUCGGAUAUGGGAUGUGAAGGAGGUCUCAUGGAUGAUGCAUUUAAGUUUAUCAUCAAGAACCAUGGGCUUACUACUGAAUCCAAUUACCCAUACCAGGGAACGGAUAGCACUUGCAAAACCGGAAAGGAAUCAAGCCAUGCUGCAAAGAUUACUAGCUAUGAAGAUGUUCCAGCUAACAGUGAGCCUGCUCUACUAAAAGCUGUAGCUAACCAACCUGUAUCUGUCGCGAUUGAUGCUAGUGGAUCAGAUUUUCAGUUCUAUUCAAGCGGUGUUUUUACUGGAGAAUGUGGAACUGAGUUAGAUCACGGUGUUACAGCAGUUGGAUAUGGUGAAGCUAGUGAUGGGACGAAGUAUUGGUUAGUGAAGAACUCGUGGGGAACGAGUUGAGGUGAGAAUGGUUACAUUAGAAUGCAAAGAAAUGUUGAUACUGAGGAAGGACUCUGCGGAAUUGCAAUGGAAGCUUCUUAUCCAACUGCUUAAGUACAGAAAUUAUGAACUGGUCUUGUCUACAUGUUCAUAAUUUAAGUGGUGCAUCCAGAAGGAUCGGACCAGGACUCUGUGUAUGUUAUAGGUUUGUUUAUACAAUUUGAAGUAUUAAAACAAAAGCUUAUAUGUAAAACCACUGUCAAUGUGAUGAAAUUAUACUUUAUUACCUUCCAAUAUAUUUGUUUAUACUCGAUAGUCUCGAAUCGUUUCUUCCUGUUUUUUAUAUUCACUGCAUCAACCAAAUAACUAAUUGAAUUUACUCACUUAGCCUACUGACUAUCGUUCUUACGUUGUGUUUUUGUCUAAUAAACUUAUGACAGAGGUAUCAGCUCAUAGUCUAACAAACAUAUUGGUAACAGCUAAUUGAUAAAUUUAUCAGGGGUGUGAAUAAGUGUACUUCAAUCCGACCAUCUUACUUACUUCGAUCGGAUGAGUCCUAGUGAGGGAAUAAUUAAGUCAUGUGAUCCCUUUGAAUUCCAUAUUUGAAGUUGUGAUCGGAUCUAUUCAUUUAAAAGAGUCGAUUCAAUACAUUUCUUAUGUACCCAUAUGUGCUAUGGGAUUUGAAUUAGAUUUGGAUCAAUCUAUAUCGAGUAACUGCCACCAUUAUGGUUUUGCUAGCGAAUACCACUAUUUUGGUGUGGUUCUCUACACCUAGAACACCAAAUGGAAAAUGAGCAUUUCCUGGUUCAAACAUGCUGAAUCUUGACUGAAUCAUCAUUUAUCAGGACUCUUUGGCUUAAGUUCUGCUAAAAUGUCACACAUCGGUAGAGGGAUAGGAAUUUGGUCUCCUUAUAUGGCCUUGGACAAACCUCCCCUCAUGAGCUAGCUUUUAAGGUUGAGUUAGGCCCAAGUGUUAUAUCUUUACAAGUUCCUUCUUUAGUAUUCAUGAAUUAAUAGCAAGAAGUCGUAUUUUAUAGACUAUAAAACAAGAUAGUAAUGUAGAUAAAGACACAAGGAUUUAUCCUGGUUCGACCCAAACUAGUGGCCUACGUCGUCUAGUCUUCCUUGACAUGGGAGGGAUUUUCACUGUUAUACACUUAUUUCCCUCAUUUAUAAUCAACGAUUGAUUUUAACAUGAUCAAGUGAGUAUGGUUUUAAGCACAGUCACACAAACUACUAUAAUUAUGAUUUUCUACUCGUCCACUACCAACGGUUCAGAUUGCCUGCAUGUUCUAUCACUCGAACACUAGGAAUUUUUCAAAAGAAAGUGGUGAGGGUAUUGUAACCUCUUAACACAACAUGGUUUCCUAUUGCAGUCAACAUCCCUUCAUUGGGAUUGAUUUGCUUUAUUCCCUUUUAUUAUUUAGCCUUCAACUUUCCUUCAGUAUAGUAAUAAAGAAUCGAUUGUAAUUUGCAAUCAGGACAACAUUAUGGUCAUGUACUCCACUGCUAAGAUUAUGGGAAGAAAAAAUAUCAGAAAGCUACAAAUGAGAGGCUUAUUAGUAUAUAUCAUUGGAGGACAUCAGAGUAGCAUGUACGGGGUCCAUCUUCGUUGUCACAAUCACAUGUAGCAUACCGGGCAUUCCAGGGAACUCAAUUUACCAUGAGAAAAUGUUAACAUUAACAACACCUGAAGUCCUAUAUAAAUUCCUUGCUCCUUCUUGAACUUUUCAUCAACAUUCAAACACACACAUAUUAGUAUCACUACAAAGGUACGAGUAGCGAAAAAUGGCCAUGACAUUUAAUUGGAAGCUUGCUUUUGUAGCUCUUCUAGUGUUGGGAAUGCAGGCUUCUCAAGCCACAUCUCGCGGCUUGUAUGAAACAUCAAUUGUCAAGAAACACGAGCAGUGGAUGGCUCGCUUUGGGCGUGUGUACAAAGAUGAUGUAGAGAAGGCAAAAAGAUUCAAAAUUUUCAAGGACAACACUGAGUACAUUGAUUC
Molecule: long non-coding RNA, 14158 nt
Filed under: Solanum tuberosum (potato)
Lineage: Eukaryota; Viridiplantae; Streptophyta; Magnoliopsida; Solanales; Solanaceae
Description: long non-coding RNA (STUB_LNC011807)
Source: RNAcentral